AGGAAUUUCCUCACCACAUUUCUACUCGGAAAUCACACGAAAGAUUGUGUUCAAGGCUGUGUCUUCGACGACAAUGUUGUCGUCUGACAUGCUUGCAAGGAAAGUUUAACAAACUCAGAUCGUCUCAUUUUUUAACUUCAGGCGUUGGUAGUUGAGACGCGAGAAGCUGUGUAACAUAUAGCGGCUGUUGAUAUGUCCCUUGAAUUACCACUUGUAACAGAAAACGGAUAUUAUUACAUUUUGGCAUCAAUUAGUUUAGUUGGGAUCCCUAUUCCUUUCAAA
Long non-coding RNA from Morus notabilis, 282 nucleotides. RefSeq lists it as uncharacterized. NCBI's taxonomy places the organism in Eukaryota, Viridiplantae, Streptophyta, Magnoliopsida, Rosales, Moraceae. The record is from RefSeq and is a predicted model, not a curated record. The transcript is spliced from 2 exons.